RNAcentral lists this long non-coding RNA (777 nucleotides) under Anas platyrhynchos (mallard). RNAcentral's name for it is "lncRNA (ENSAPLG00020010274.1)". Lineage: Eukaryota; Metazoa; Chordata; Aves; Anseriformes; Anatidae. The record is from RNAcentral.
AGCUCUUGAAAGAGGAUUUUCCUUCCCUGUCAGAUGAGCUUGUGAUUAACAGCAGAUUUGGAGAUACAGUCCCACAUUGUUUAGCAAAGCAUGGAUCCAAGAAAGGAUCCAAAGGUAGGAUCCAGAAACCCAGAUUUAGGACAACUGUACCUUCAGUAUCAUUAGCCCUCACUGUUCUCAGGGCACUCACAUCUCAGGCAGCAUCCUCUCCCAUCCCACAGGGCAGUAACUGUGUGCAACACGGGGUCCACCGUGGGCACAAACUCAUGGACAAGCUCCCUGCUCAACAUCACAUGUCUCGGUGACUGUCUAAUUAAGAUAAAAAAUAAUUUCUUUUUACCCUUCUCAGCCCCUCCACUGUGUGGGUGAUGCCCCGUUUGGGCCAGCAUUUGAAGGACAGAAUAGGCUCUGGUCUUGCUGCUAUACCUUGGAGCUCACUCACCACCCAGGGAUGCAUGGCGAAACUGUUUGGACAACAGGGAUGAAAGCCUUUAAUUACAUGACUACCUGCUGCUUUUUGCAGAGAGCACUUGCCUCGUUCAGUGAACAGGACAGACCUGCUUUGCAUGUGGGUCACUUUACCGUGAAGGAGGCUGCUCCCCUGUGCGACCCUGCCUCAUUUAUUGCAGAGAGUGAAUCACAAACGGGGUGGGAGGCUGCAAGGAGAGUCGAGGUGUGUCACUGCUUCUCCUGAGAAUUAAAUUCAUCAUUUAGAAAGUCAGCUGGAUGACUGCUGACAGGUGUAGAAGUGUCUGAGCUGGCUCCUCAGCUCCCCUC